AUGCUGUUUUCUAUCAGUCCCAAGUGGAUACUCCCCAACUUCCACGGUCCGCUUACCGAGGAAGAGAUGCGGGAGGACCCAGGGCUAGAGCAAGUUGGGUUGGCGUAUAGAGCCGUAAGCACGGUGGGGGUGAUAGAGGAUGUGCUCGUACGGUUCAUAGUUGGGUAUGAUAUUCUUGUGGAUUGUUGGGAACGUCCUCUAUAUUCGAAAUAUGCCUUUCUAGGAGCAUUAUGA
Molecule: ribosomal RNA, 234 nt
Filed under: Triticum aestivum (bread wheat)
Lineage: Eukaryota; Viridiplantae; Streptophyta; Magnoliopsida; Poales; Poaceae
Description: partial small subunit ribosomal RNA
Source: RNAcentral